Molecule: long non-coding RNA, 993 nt
Organism: Hippocampus zosterae (dwarf seahorse)
Lineage: Eukaryota; Metazoa; Chordata; Actinopteri; Syngnathiformes; Syngnathidae
Exons: 3
Source: RefSeq, a predicted model, not a curated record
CGCGGCGGCAGCCUCAUUUUUGCGCCGUUGGUUGGCUGAGCUCGGAUGACGGCUCGAUCGAUUGCUUUGGUCUGGCGUCGCCGAGAGGCCCGACGGGACAACGCCAAGCACGACCAUUUGUGUUCCAAUUUUUGUCCGUCCGAACGCCACCUGUUUUUGUUUUUUGUUUUUUUUGCCUGAGUUUCUACGCAACACAAGACGUCGACAAGAGGACCGAAGCUUCCUCUUGUGCUGCUAGCCGAACCUAGCAUAGCGAAACAACUUCCGUCCCGUCAAGACCGAAAUCGACAAAAUGGCGGCGCAUUCCCGCGCGAGAACUCCCCGUCGGACUCUCCGAACGGGCGCCCGCCUUCUCGGCUCCGUCCGUACUUGCUCAUUCGGCGGAUGUUACGAAAACCACCGACUGCCUUCCCGCCGUCAAUCAAAGCGAGUCUGAAAAAUGAGUCACUCCAAGGCGUUUUCGCCGCAGAGUAAACCGUGCAGAAAGUGCCAUUCAUCAAGCGCGCUCGGCGACCUGUUGUUUCUGCACGCACGGAAAGACGAGCCGGUUUUGGAGCGCCGCUGUUGAUUUUUUUUUUGGCCCGCACACAUCGAUUUCCACUUCAGGCCAAUCUGCAGUUCGGGAUCAGAGAGGAAGCCAGUUCACCUUAACAAGGUAACCAGAGCUCAGCGCUCCAAUGUGGACCAGCUGCGGCGGCUCAUGUGGGACCUUACCAGGGAUUUGGGGGCGCCCGCCUGGAGUUUAAUUGAGCAUUAAUUACAAAUAGCGCAAUUUCCCCCCCACCCCUCUCCUAAAAAUGGAGACCCUCAUUUUCGGAUUGCUCUCUUUGUUGUCUCAUUUGGGCUGACUUCCUGCGCCGUCCACUUUGUUUACAAUCUCCGUCUCGUGUCCCGUCACGGAAAAUCGAGCCUUGAUUUCGCAAUCGGGUCGACGCCCGCCCGGUUGCGAUUCAUCCGCCGCGCAUUUUCAUUUUUGAUGGGCUGUCAAAUGUA